Non-coding RNA from Phthorimaea operculella (potato tuberworm), 76 nucleotides. The record is from the annotation of a GenBank genome assembly. NCBI's taxonomy places the organism in Eukaryota, Metazoa, Arthropoda, Insecta, Lepidoptera, Gelechiidae.
GCCGCAGUAGCCCAGAUGAAAGAGGCGUCGCCAGUACGAAUAACGAAAGUAGCAGGUUCCAAUCCUGCCUGCGACA